This 324-nucleotide ribosomal RNA is filed under the name Triticum aestivum (bread wheat). Its description in RNAcentral is "partial small subunit ribosomal RNA". The record is from RNAcentral. Lineage: Eukaryota; Viridiplantae; Streptophyta; Magnoliopsida; Poales; Poaceae.
CUAGGAGAUGAUGGCUAUGCAUGUCGUCCAGAUGUUCUUCCACCCUUCAGGAAAAUCAGGUACCAUCUAAAUGAGAUCUUGGGUAGGAACUAUCCUAGGACUCCUCAGGAACUAUUCAAUCUCAGACACUCUAGCCUUAGAGUAAUGGUUGAGGGGGCAUUUGGAGCUCUGAAGAAUAGGUUUAUGAUCCUAGAUCAGAAGACAUUCCACCCUUACCCUACCGAGGUUAAACAUGUUCUUGCAUGUUGUAUCAUUCACAACUAGAUCCUACAAUGGGGAACAGAUGAACUUAUGCCGGAGGAGGAAGAUGUGAUGCCUGAUGAU